CGGACGGGUGAGUAAUGUAUGGGGAUCUGCCUGAUGGCGGGGGAUAACUACUGGAAACGGUAGCUAAUACCGCAUAAUGUCUACGGACCAAAGCGGGGGACCUUCGGGUCUCUUGCCAUCGGAUGUGCCCAGAUGGGAUUAGCUAGUAGGUAAGGUAACGGCUUACCUAGGCGACGAUCCCUAGCUGGUCUGAGAGGAUGAUCAGCCACACUGGGACUGAGACACGGCCCAG
RNAcentral lists this ribosomal RNA (232 nucleotides) under uncultured bacterium. RNAcentral's name for it is "partial 16S ribosomal RNA". It matches the Rfam family "Bacterial small subunit ribosomal RNA", at positions 99 to 334 of the family's 1533-position model. The record is from RNAcentral.